AUUGAACGCUGGCGGCAGGCCUAACACAUGCAAGUCGAGCGGUAGAGAGAAGCUUGCUUCUCUUGAGAGCGGCGGACGGGUGAGUAAUGCCUAGGAAUCUGCCUAGUGGUGGGGGAUAACGUUCGGAAACGGACGCUAAUACCGCAUACGUCCUACGGGAGAAAGCGGGGGAUCUUCGGACCUCGCCCCAUUAGAUGAGCCUAGGUCGGAUUAGCUAGUUGGUGAGGUAAUGGCUCACCAAGGCGACGAUCCGUAACUGGUCUGAGAGGAUGAUCAGUCACACUGGAACUGAGACACGGUCCAGACUCCUACGGGAGGCAGCAGUGGGGAAUAUUGGACAAUGGGCGAAAGCCUGAUCCAGCCAUGCCGCGUGUGUGAAGAAGGUCUUCGGAUUGUAAAGCACUUUAAGUUGGGAGGAAGGGUAGUAACCUAAUACGUUGCUACUUUGACGUUACCGACAGAAUAAGCACCGGCUAACUUCGUGCCAGCCGCCGCAGUAA
Molecule: ribosomal RNA, 500 nt
Filed under: uncultured bacterium
Lineage: Bacteria
Description: partial 16S ribosomal RNA
Rfam family: Bacterial small subunit ribosomal RNA
Source: RNAcentral